CCUACGUGAGGCUGCAGUGAGGAAUAUUGGUCAAUGGGCGCGAGCCUGAACCAGCCAAGUAGCGUGAAGGAUGACUGCCCUACGGGUUGUAAACUUCUUUUAUAAAGGAAUAAAGUGAGGCGCGUGUGCCUUUUUGUAUGUCCUUUAUGAAUAAGGAUCGGCUAACUCCGUGCCAGCAGCCGCGUUAAUACGGAGGAUCCGAGCGUUAUCCGGAUUUAUUGGGUUUAAAGGGAGCGUAGAUGGGUUGUUAAGUCAGUUGUGAAAGUUUGCGGCUCAACCGUAAAAUUGCAAUUGAUACUGGCAGUCUUGAGUACAGUUGAGGUAGGCGGAAUUCGUGGUGUAGCGGUGAAAUGCUUAGAUAUCACGAAGAACUCCGAUUGCGAAGGCAGCUUACUAAACUGCCACUGACAUUGAUGCUCGAAAGUGUGGGUAUCAAACAGGAUUAGAUACCCUAGUAGUC
Molecule: ribosomal RNA, 460 nt
Filed under: uncultured bacterium
Lineage: Bacteria
Description: partial 16S ribosomal RNA
Rfam family: Bacterial small subunit ribosomal RNA
Source: RNAcentral